GGCUGAUGGCCUUGGAGGAAGGAGAUGCUGAUAACUUAAAACGCCGUGUAGUGGAACUACUGCUUCAGAACCCCCAAGGCAUCAGGUUUGAGAAUUUUUCUGGGGCCUUCCAUCAGCUGCAUGGUUACUACCCUCGUAUCGCUCUUCAGGGAUAUCAUACGCUCAAGGAAUUAGUGGCUGAUAUGAAGAAUGCUGUGGUUGUGGAAAGGCGUUCACGGCAACAAGUUUUGAAGAUUGCAAAGGGCUUCCGUCUUGACUGUUGGUUGGAAGGAGAAAAAGGGAAUGGAUUGGAAACAUCAGAAAGAGAAGUGGAGAACCUGCGAGAUGAAGACCAAGUUGGAGGAGAAACAACUCUUGCAGACAUCUUGGAUUUGCUCAUCAGCCUCCUAACGGAGUACAAAUCGGGACUGAGAAUUAGCUAUAUCCAGAAAUUCAUGCUAUCCAAGCAUGCAGUGGACAUGGAAAAGUUCAGCAUUGCCCAAGGCUACAAGAACAUCAUGGAAUUCUUGGGACAUGAACUGCCAGAGCUAAUAGUCAGAUAUCAAGAGAAAACCUGUGAAUAUGUUGUACAGAUUCCUGAAGGUCUCUUUGCCUCAGAUCUGUCUGUGGAGUCAGAUUUCUCUACAUGGAGCUCACCAUCCUCGACCCAGGAUCUAACAAGAACAAACUCUGCUAGCUCUUUGUAUUACACAUGCAAAAGUGACCCAAACCAUGUGAAGCAACCUACAAAAUAUGUCCCAGAUCUGCCGGCUGCUUCAAAGCUAAUUCGGGAUGUGCUCAAGAGAUUCCCUCGUGGUAUGAAAGUACGUUUGCUAAAAAGAGUCCUCAGAAAGAGACGCAGAUUUCACUUGGAGGCAUUCUGCACACAGCACGGAUACCAAGAUGUGUUGUCCUGCUUGAAGGAUAUCCCUGAGCUGCUUCUCCUAAAUACAAAUAGGCCUCAGAAUUGUGUCGUCCGCCUUCAGCCAUGUCACUUUGGCUCUGAUCUGUCUUUGGACUCGGAUUUCUCUGGAUGCAGCUCUCAUUCUGAACCCCAUGGUCUAACAAGAAUGAAUUCUGCUGUCUCUCUACCUUCUACCAGUGUGAGUGUGCUGAACCAUGUGAAGGAACCUACAAACCAGGCCCUAGCAUUACCAGAAGUUUUGUCUUUAGUCAAUAACCUGCUCACCAAGUACAAAGACGGUCUGAGAAUUAAGAAAAUUCAAGAUUUCCUGAUGGCUACAAACAGCAUUGACCUUGAGAAAUUCAGUAUCAUGCAAGGCUACAAAGGCUCAGUGGAAUUUUUGCAGCGUCAAAUGCCUUAUUUAUCCUACAAGAAACGAAACCAAGGACUCCACAGUAUUGUUAAACUGGGUAUAAAGGCAAAAAAGAAGCAGUCUCAAAAACAUCCUCAAACUGGAACAACCAAAAAGAAUCCUUCUGUUGCUUCUGUUCCCCCUUUGGUGAAUGCCCCUGAGCCACAGUCAGCAAAACCACUGGAGCCAGUUCAUUCAGAAUCAGGCUUUGGAAGUGUCUCUAAGUCUUCCGUUACACCCAAUGAUUUUUCUGCAAGCAAAUCUCAGUCCCAGAGCCUGCCUUUACAAGCUCCUUCCAUACCACAGGAAGUCAAGAACAUGAUCCAUUCCAGCAUGCGUAUCCCACUUCCAUCCUUUCAUGAGGUCCAUAGUACUUCACCAGCCAAGCCUAACAAUUCCAGCCAGUCUAUUUCCAACAGUCCACCCCAGAAGCCAAAUGUAUGCCAGUUUGGUGGAUCACCACCCAUGGAAGAAGUCCUUUGUCAGUUGGAUAGGCAACUGUCUAGCAAAUCCAAAAUGACUGAAGACGAACCUUCAAAGGACCAGGAUGAUUUGAAGCAGCAAGUAGCCCACAUCCUGGCCUUGCAUCCAGAAGGCAUGUCACUUUUCCAGUUUCGUGCAGCCUAUAGUGCCACCUAUCAGCAGCACUUCCCAAUGGACAACGCUGCUUCUGUCAAACAACGUUUGCAGGAAAUGCCAGAUGUUGUUUGUAUGAAAAGCUAUGGAGUCCAAACAAGGCUGCUAUCUGUAUCUUGUGCAAUGCCAUCUUUAAAAUCUGGUCAGCCUGUCUCUGCCACAAUGGAAAAAACUUCAGUUGUCCCUGGUCUCUCACAGCCCAGAACAGUGUCACUGACUCAAGAGAGUUUUGAAGAACUUGGAGGAGAUGACAGCAAGGAGGAUUACCCAGUCCUUGAUUCUUUGCUCCACCAAGUAGUUAAACCAAGAGCUCAUGUGCAAGAGAAUGUGAAGAAGAAGCCCAAGUCAAUGGGAGCUCUUGUCAUUCCUCAGCCCCCUGUAGUUUGUCAUACAUAUGCUCAAGUCACAGCUUCGCAUAAACCUUUGAAACCAAAUAGUCUUCAUAUGAAGCCCACACAUCUGAAUAGCCCUUAUAUUUCUGCCAGUAGUGCCUCAGUGCCUUCAUAUCCAAAUGAUCCUUGUAUUUCUGCCAGUAGUGCCUCAGUGUCUUCGCAUCCAAAUGAUCCUUUUAUUUCUGCCAGUAGUGCCUCGGUGCCUUCACAUCCAAAUGAUCCUUGUAUUUCUGCCAACAGUGCCUCGGUGCCUUCACAUCCAAAUGAUCCUUGUAUUUCUGCCAACAGUGCCUCAGUGCCUUCACAUCCAAAUGAUUCUCGUAUUUCUGCCAACAGUGCCAACAGUGCCUCAGUGCCUUCACAUCCAAAUGAUCCUUAUAUUUCUGCCAGUAGUACCUCAGUGCCUUCAUAUCCAAAUGAUCCUUGGAUUUCUGCCAACAGUGCUUCGGUGCCUUCCACCUCUCAUCCUGCCUCUUACAAUUCUGGAACAUGGGCGCAGCCGGUGAGCUAUCCAUUUGUGCCGUUGGUUUCCCAGAUGCCAGAGAUUUUCCCUGUCAUGCCUGCCUAUAUCAAAGUUUCUAGAUAUCCUUCUGGGAUCCAGUUUAAGAACCCUACAGUUCAGAGCUCUCCUUUUGCUCAGCCACCCCAUGUGCUCCCAAUUAGAUAUGAUCCAACAAUGCAUCUGACCCAAAGCAUAGAACAAUGGAGCAACAUUCGUACUCUCCCACAAGUGGAUGCCUAUUCUCCAGUGAAGACAUCAUCCAACAUUCUGCAGCUUGCCCAAAGCCCUACAUCCUCAACAAGGAGAUAUCCCAUAUCUCCAUCUUCUAGAAACAUCUCCCAGACUGUCCAGCAUUUAGAAUCUUCUAAACAUACCCAGCAGGUUGGUCUGCAGCAUGGUUCAGUUGUGGUAACAAUGAAUAAAAGCUUUGUAGUAACAUCUCUGGACACACAGCCUAAGCCUCCAGCAUCUGCUUAUCAGAGACAAUAUGUUGAUUGGAAUCCUCUGGCAUCUACUACAAACACAGCACAGUUCAUUUCACUUGGUGCUUGCUCCACUAGUCAGCCCUUUCAGCCCUUGGAAAUUUCCUCUAAUAGCAAAAAGAAUCCUAAUGCUCUGCUUUUUGAACCUCCAGUUUUCGUGGAUCAGCCACAACCUGUUAGUGCAAGUGCCACCAUAACCACCUCAUCGUAUUCACCACCUUCACUUGUAGAUGCUAAUGUAAGCCCAUAUUCCAACCACUUAACUCCCUCCAGUAAUUGCAAUGAUUCUGCUAGUCAACCUUUAAAGCCUUGGGCUUCCAUUCAACAACAACAUACUAGCCUGGAUGUCUCUGUAAUCAAUUCCAGCAGAAAACAAGCAGGUUCAUUGCCUUGCCCUCAAGACCUCACUAUCAGACCAUCCCGCCAACUCUCCAUAACACCUUUAAGUGUUUGUACAGAUAAUGAGCCUCCUAUCCAAGCUAAGCCUGUGGUUUCUUUUUCUAAACAUGCUGACGAUCAUCAUGUUUCUUUGCCAAUAAACCAGACAUCUUAUUCUCCCCCAAAUAGCCCUCUAAAAAAACUGGAUAGUUGUGUUAUCUUGUAA
Long non-coding RNA from Anolis carolinensis (green anole), 3911 nucleotides. The record is from Ensembl. NCBI's taxonomy places the organism in Eukaryota, Metazoa, Chordata, Lepidosauria, Squamata, Anolidae.